This 125-nucleotide unclassified non-coding RNA is filed under the name soil metagenome. RNAcentral's name for it is "partial internal transcribed spacer 1". The record is from RNAcentral.
AUAAAUCUGACUGGCCUCAAGGCCUUUCUCACACUUGUGUAUAGUAAUUGUUUCUUUGGCGGAUGCAAGUCCGUGUUAAACUCUGUAAUAAUUUUUGCCUAUAACCUUUAAUGAAUAAUUAAAAA